GAUGAAGAACGUAGCGAAAUGCGAUAAGUAAUGUGAAUUGCAGAAUUCAGUGAAUCAUCGAAUCUUUGAACGCACAUUGCGCCCAUUAGUAUUCUAGUGGGCAUGCCUGUUCGAGCGUCAUUAAGUCCACUUAAGCCCUGCUUAGUGUUGGGAGACUGCUCCAGCGGUGCUACCCUGUAGCUACCCUGCAGCUCCUCAAAGACAGCGGCGGAGUUGUGGUAUCCUCUGAGCUUAGUAACUUGUUCUAGCUUUCGAGUACACCACUUCCCCUGCCGUAAAACCCUUAAUUUUUAAUGGUUGACCUCGGAUCAGGUAGGAAUACCCGCUGAACUUAAGCAUACAAUAAGCGGAGGA
Molecule: unclassified non-coding RNA, 354 nt
Filed under: soil metagenome
Description: partial contains 5.8S ribosomal RNA, internal transcribed spacer 2, and large subunit ribosomal RNA
Rfam family: 5.8S ribosomal RNA (bases 1-120)
Source: RNAcentral